UUAAGCGACUAAGCGUACACGGUGGAUGCCCUGGCAGUCAGAGGCGAUGAAGGACGUGCUAAUCUGCGAUAAGCGCCGGUAAGGUGAUAUGAACCGUUAUAACCGGCGAUUUCCGAAUGGGGAAACCCAGUGUGACUCGUCACACUAUCAUUAACUGAAUCCAUAGGUUAAUGAGGCGAACCGGGGGAACUGAAACAUCUAAGUACCCCGAGGAAAAGAAAUCAACCGAGAUUCCCCCAGUAGCGGCGAGCGAACGGGGAGGAGCCCAGAGCCUGAAUCAGCAUGUGUGUUAGUGGAAGCGUCUGGAAAGGCGCGCGAUACAGGGUGACAGCCCCGUACACAAAAGCGCAUGUGCUGUGAGCUCGAUGAGUAGGGCGGGACACGUGGUAUCCUGUCUGAAUAUGGGGGGACCAUCCUCCAAGGCUAAAUACUCCUGACUGACCGAUAGUGAACCAGUACCGUGAGGGAAAGGCGAAAAGAACCCCGGCGAGGGGAGUGAAAAAGAACCUGAAACCGUGUACGUACAAGCAGUGGGAGCACCCUUUGGGGUGUGACUGCGUACCUUUUGUAUAAUGGGUCAGCGACUUAUAUUCUGUAGCAAGGUUAACCGAAUAGGGGAGCCGGAGGGAAACCGAGUCUUAAUUGGGCGUUAAGUUGCAGGGUAUAGACCCGAAACCCGGUGAUCUAGCCAUGGGCAGGUUGAAGGUUGGGUAACACUAACUGGAGGACCGAACCGACUAAUGUUGAAAAAUUAGCGGAUGACCUGUGGCUGGGGGUGAAAGGCCAAUCAAACCGGGAGAUAGCUGGUUCUCCCCGAAAGCUAUUUAGGUAGCGCCUCGUGAAUUCAUCUCCGGGGGUAGAGCACUGUUUCGGCUAGGGGGCCAUCCCGGCUUACCAACCCGAUGCAAACUGCGAAUACCGGAGAAUGUUAUCACGGGAGACACACGGCGGGUGCUAACGUCCGUCGUGAAGAGGGAAACAACCCAGACCGCCAGCUAAGGUCCCAAAGUCAUGGUUAAGUGGGAAACGAUGUGGGAAGGCCCAGACAGCCAGGAUGUUGGCUUAGAAGCAGCCAUCAUUUAAAGAAAGCGUAAUAGCUCACUGGUCGAGUCGGCCUGCGCGGAAGAUGUAACGGGGCUAAACCAUGCACCGAAGCUGCGGCAGCGACACUAUGUGUUGUUGGGUAGGGGAGCGUUCUGUAAGCCUGUGAAGGUGUGCUGUGAGGCAUGCUGGAGGUAUCAGAAGUGCGAAUGCUGACAUAAGUAACGAUAAAGCGGGUGAAAAGCCCGCUCGCCGGAAGACCAAGGGUUCCUGUCCAACGUUAAUCGGGGCAGGGUGAGUCGACCCCUAAGGCGAGGCCGAAAGGCGUAGUCGAUGGGAAACGGGUUAAUAUUCCCGUACUUGGUGUUACUGCGAAGGGGGGACGGAGAAGGCUAUGUUGGCCGGGCGACGGUUGUCCCGGUUUAAGCGUGUAGGCUGGUUUUCCAGGCAAAUCCGGAAAAUCAAGGCUGAGGCGUGAUGACGAGGCACUACGGUGCUGAAGCAACAAAUGCCCUGCUUCCAGGAAAAGCCUCUAAGCAUCAGGUAACAUCAAAUCGUACCCCAAACCGACACAGGUGGUCAGGUAGAGAAUACCAAGGCGCUUGAGAGAACUCGGGUGAAGGAACUAGGCAAAAUGGUGCCGUAACUUCGGGAGAAGGCACGCUGACACGUAGGUGAAGUGAUUUACUCAUGGAGCUGAAGUCAGUCGAAGAUACCAGCUGGCUGCAACUGUUUAUUAAAAACACAGCACUGUGCAAACACGAAAGUGGACGUAUACGGUGUGACGCCUGCCCGGUGCCGGAAGGUUAAUUGAUGGGGUCAGCGCAAGCGAAGCUCCUGAUCGAAGCCCCGGUAAACGGCGGCCGUAACUAUAACGGUCCUAAGGUAGCGAAAUUCCUUGUCGGGUAAGUUCCGACCUGCACGAAUGGCGUAAUGAUGGCCAGGCUGUCUCCACCCGAGACUCAGUGAAAUUGAACUCGCUGUGAAGAUGCAGUGUACCCGCGGCAAGACGGAAAGACCCCGUGAACCUUUACUAUAGCUUGACACUGAACAUUGAGCCUUGAUGUGUAGGAUAGGUGGGAGGCUUUGAAGCGUGGACGCCAGUCUGCGUGGAGCCGACCUUGAAAUACCACCCUUUAAUGUUUGAUGUUCUAACGUGGACCCGUGAUCCGGGUUGCGGACAGUGUCUGGUGGGUAGUUUGACUGGGGCGGUCUCCUCCUAAAGAGUAACGGAGGAGCACGAAGGUUGGCUAAUCCUGGUCGGACAUCAGGAGGUUAGUGCAAUGGCAUAAGCCAGCUUGACUGCGAGCGUGACGGCGCGAGCAGGUGCGAAAGCAGGUCAUAGUGAUCCGGUGGUUCUGAAUGGAAGGGCCAUCGCUCAACGGAUAAAAGGUACUCCGGGGAUAACAGGCUGAUACCGCCCAAGAGUUCAUAUCGACGGCGGUGUUUGGCACCUCGAUGUCGGCUCAUCACAUCCUGGGGCUGAAGUAGGUCCCAAGGGUAUGGCUGUUCGCCAUUUAAAGUGGUACGCGAGCUGGGUUUAGAACGUCGUGAGACAGUUCGGUCCCUAUCUGCCGUGGGCGCUGGAGAACUGAGGGGGGCUGCUCCUAGUACGAGAGGACCGGAGUGGACGCAUCACUGGUGUUCGGGUUGUCAUGCCAAUGGCACUGCCCGGUAGCUAAAUGCGGAAGAGAUAAGUGCUGAAAGCAUCUAAGCACGAAACUUGCCCCGAGAUGAGUUCUCCCUGAGACUUAGAGUCUCCUGAAGGAACGUUGAAGACGACGACGUUGAUAGGCCGGGUGUGUAAGCGCAGCGAUGCGUUGAGCUAACCGGUACUAAUGAACCGUGAGGCUUAACCUU
RNAcentral lists this ribosomal RNA (2901 nucleotides) under Salmonella enterica subsp. enterica. RNAcentral's name for it is "bacterial LSU rRNA". It matches the Rfam family "Bacterial large subunit ribosomal RNA". Lineage: Bacteria; Pseudomonadati; Pseudomonadota; Gammaproteobacteria; Enterobacterales; Enterobacteriaceae. The record is from RNAcentral.